GAAGCAUCUGACUCUUUCAUGCAUACUCCACUUGGCUCGAACCCGUCGGGGAGGCCUGAGAGGCGGUGGUUUA
RNAcentral lists this transfer RNA (73 nucleotides) under Saccharum hybrid cultivar. Its description in RNAcentral is "tRNA-Ala". Lineage: Eukaryota; Viridiplantae; Streptophyta; Magnoliopsida; Poales; Poaceae. The record is from RNAcentral.